UUAGAGUUUGAUUCUGGCUCAGGACGAACGCUGGCGGCGUGCUUAACACAUGCAAGUCGUACGGAAAAAUCUUUCUUCGGAGAGGUUUUUUAGUGGCGAACGGGUGAGUAACACGUGAGUAACCUGCCCUCUUCUUUGGAAUAACCUGCGGAAACGUGGGCUAAUGCCGAAUAUUCGUUUCCUCCUGCAUGGGAGGUUUCGGAAAGGACCUCAGUGAGGUUUGGUGGGGGAUGGGCUCGCGGCCUAUCAGUUUGUUGGUGGGGUGAUGGCCUACCAAGGCGUGGACGGGUAGCCGGCCUGAGAGGGUGUUCGGUCACACUGGGACUGAGAUACGGCCCAGACUCCUACGGGAGGCAGCAGUGGGGAAUUUUGCACAAUGGACGAAAGUCUGAUGCAGUGACGCCGCGUGGGGGAUGACGGCCUUCGGGUUGUAAACCUCUUUCGUCAUCGACGAAGCCGGUCUUUGGAUCGGUGACGGUAGGUGGAGAAGAAGCACCGGCCAACUACGUGCCAGCAGCCGCGGUAAUACGUAGGGUGCGAGCGUUGUCCGGAUUUAUUGGGCGUAAAGAGCUCGUAGGUGGCUUGUCGCGUCGGUCGUGAAAUCUUACAGCUUAACUGUGAGCUUGCGAUCGGUACGGGCGAGCUUGAGUGCGGUAGGGGAGACUGGAAUUCCUGGUGUAGCGGUGGAAUGCGCAGAUAUCAGGGGGAACACCGGUGGCGAAGGCGGGUCUCUGGGCCGUUACUGACACUGAGGAGCGAAAGCGUGGGGAGCAAACAGGCUUAGAUACCCUGGUAGUCCACGCUGUAAACGUUGGGCGCUAGGUGUGGGGGACUUACACGUUCUCUGUGCCGUAGCUAACGCUUUAAGCGCCCCGCCUGGGGAGUACGGCCGCAAGGGCUAAAACUCAAAUGAAUUGACGGGGA
This 924-nucleotide ribosomal RNA is filed under the name uncultured Actinomycetes bacterium. Its description in RNAcentral is "bacterial SSU rRNA". It matches the Rfam family "Bacterial small subunit ribosomal RNA", at positions 1 to 919 of the family's 1533-position model. The record is from RNAcentral. Lineage: Bacteria; Bacillati; Actinomycetota; Actinomycetes.